UAGCAUAUCAAUAAGCGGAGGAAAAGAAACCAACCGGGAUUGCCUCAGUAACGGCGAGUGAAGCGGCAAAAGCUCAAAUUUGAAAUCUGGCACUUUCAGUGUCCGAGUUGUAAUUUGUAGAAGUAGUUUUGGGGCUGGUCCUUAUCUAUGUUCCUUGGAACAGGACGUCAUAGAGGGUGAGAAUCCCGUGUGAUGAGGAUCCCAGUUCCGUGUAAAACGCUUUCAAAGAGUCGAGUUGUUUGGGAAUGCAGCUCUAAGUGGGUGGUAAAUUCCAUCUAAAGCUAAAUAUUGGCGAGAGACCGAUAGCGAACAAGUACAGUGAUGGAAAGAUGAAAAGAACUUUGAAAAGAGAGUGAAAAAGUACGUGAAAUUGUUGAAAGGGAAGGGCAUUUGAUCAGACAUGGUGUUUUGUUCCCUCCGCUCCUUGUGGGUGGGGGAUCUGCAGCUCACUGGGCCAACAUCAGUUCUGGGAGCCGGAUAAAUCUGCAGGAACGUAGCUUUCUUCGGGAAGUGUUAUAGCCUGUAGGAAUACUGCUACCUGGGACUGAGGACUGCGUCUUUAUGGCAAGGAUGUUGGCAUAAUGGUUAAAUGCCGCCCGUCUUGAAACAUGGACCAAGGAGUCUAACGUCUAUGCGAGUGUUUGGGUGUAAAACCCGUACGCGUAAUGAAAGUGAACGUAGGUGAGGGCCCCUUUAGGGGUGCAUCAUCGACCGAUCCUGAAGUUUUCAGAUGGAUUUGAGUAAGAGCAUAGCUGUUGGGACCCGAAAGAUGGUGAACUAUGCCUGAAUAGGGUGAAGCCAGAGGAAACUCUGGUGGAGGCUCGUAGCGGUUCUGACGUGCAAAUCGAUCGUCGAAUUUGGGUAUAGGGGCGAAAGACUAAUCGAACCAUCUAGUAGCUGGUUCUGCGAG
Molecule: ribosomal RNA, 910 nt
Filed under: Hanseniaspora taiwanica (nom. inval.)
Lineage: Eukaryota; Fungi; Ascomycota; Saccharomycetes; Saccharomycodales; Saccharomycodaceae
Description: LSU rRNA
Rfam family: Eukaryotic large subunit ribosomal RNA
Source: RNAcentral